UACGUAGGGCGCAAGCGUUAUCCGGAAUUAUUGGGCGUAAAGAGCUCGUAGGUGGUCUGUUGCGUCCGCUGUGAAAACUCGGGGCUUAACCCCGAGCCUGCAGUGGAUACGGGCAGACUAGAGGUAGGUAGGGGAGAAUGGAAUUCCUGGUGUAGCGGUGAAAUGCGCAGAUAUCAGGAGGAACACCGGUGGCGAAGGCGGGUCUCUGGGCCGAUACUGACACUGAGGAGCGAAAGCGUGGGGAGCGAACAGG
RNAcentral lists this ribosomal RNA (253 nucleotides) under uncultured bacterium. Its description in RNAcentral is "partial 16S ribosomal RNA". It matches the Rfam family "Bacterial small subunit ribosomal RNA", at positions 524 to 776 of the family's 1533-position model. The record is from RNAcentral.